AGACUUCUCACCUGGCCCUCCACCUGGCUCAGAAUGCCUGCCUCUCGCCUGCCAACUCCUACCCAUCUUUCAAGGCCUGGUCAAAUGUCACCUCCACUGGGAAGCCCUCCUUGAUCUCCCAGGCUGUUAGGGGCCUGCCCCAGGUUCCUGCAGACUCCCUGCUUCUCUCCAUCACAAACCUGAGCAGUGUGGGGCUGUCAUUAUCAUGUGUGAGGUUUUAGUACCAGGAAGUGGGGUACUACCAUAGCAAAUACCCAAAAAUGGGGAAAUGGCUUGGGGAAUGGAAAGAAUUGGACAAUGAGCACUUGAUAGAAAAAGCCUAGAUUGCCCUGAAGAGGUGGUCAGUAGAAAUAUGGAUGUUAAAGGUGCCCCUUCUGAGGUCCUAGGAGGAAAUGAGGGACAUGACAUUGGACGUGAAGAUGGAGGUGGGGACUGCAGUGAUGCAUCCACAGAUCUGGGAGACCAGGAUGCUGCAGCCAUCACAGCUGGGGGAAAGGGAGAAGACAGGGGUCCCCUGAGAGCCUCCAGAAGGAGCCAAGCCUGCCGACCCCUUGGUUGAGGGCCUCUGGCCUGCAGCACUGUAAGACAGUAGGUUUCUGUGGUUUAAGCCAUUCAGUCUGUGGUCACAUGUUACAGUAGCCCUAGGAAGCUAAUGCGGGGGCUGCUGGUACCCUGCCCACUCCUUGACUGUUGCCUACUGGCCCAGCUCCCACCUGCAGCUCUGCUCGAAACUGUCCCCACUCUGCUGUGCUCAAAAGGUCAGAGUGCCAGGGAAUCAAGGCCCAGCCCUUUCUCAGGGAGCAGCUGUUCACUAAAGGUUGUCAGGAGGUUGUCGGGGCAGGGGUGGUGGUGUAUAAAUACCCCAGCUCCAUCGCCCCUUGGGCAGGAAUGCACUGAACUUGCUCUAUGCUGGCUCCAGGGUACCCAGCAGGCUUGAGCCCCCAGAACCAUGACCAGCUCCAUCACUAACCAUGUGUUGGCCCCUUCCCUCCCAUGACCCCUGGGAUAACCUCCCAACUCAACUACUGGCAUCCAAAUCCUUGUCUCUGGAUCAGCCUGUGGAGGAGACCGAGCUGAGACGACAUGUCAGCACCUCACCAGGUCUUCCGGGCAAGACCACAGAUGGUGUCCCCAGUGCCAGUCACAGGGCUGGGCCAGGUGUGCUGGUCAAAGGUGGGAAAGGUGGAUGGAUGGAGUGAGGGAAUAGGAAGGAGGAUGGGAAAUGGCCCACAAAGCCUCUGGGUAUGGAAGAUGGUGUAGGCCAGGAGGCCUCCCUGGAGGAGGCAACAGAGAGGCCAUGUGGAGACUGGAGACACAGACGCUGAGGGAAACAGAGGCCUGGAGCCCACCUGUGCCGAGCUGGUCCAGUGGCCAUAGCAGCAGACCCAUGACCAAGGAGAGAACUAAGAAUGGGUGACCCAGGCCCACCACCACCACCUCACCAGUUCUCCUACACCUUGGGCAGACAAGCUGGGGAGGAGCACGGGCUUAGGGGCUGGCAGCUCGUGUCAAACCACAGCUCCGUUACGGGCAGCUGCGUGCCCCUGACAGAUGAGGUCACCUGUCUAAGCCUUGCUGUCUGUCCUGUCCCCGGGAUGUAAGGGAUAAUAGAUUCCCCUCAAAUCCCAUGGGGUUGCUGGGAUGGUGUAUGUGAAGGCACACAGUUGGUGCUCAAUAGAUGUUUGUUCAUGCAGGCUCUGUGGGUGACUUGCUCCAUUCAACAGGCCUUCCAGGGGUCUUCGGGGGUCGCCACCCCCCAGCCUGAGGCCAAGGAGUGGGGACAGCCUGCUGUCCCCGCCCCGUGGAGGCCGCUGCCUGGUCUGCCAAGAGGCACCCAGGGAAGUCAGGGCUGUGGAGGCUGCUGUACCUUCUGCAGUUCUUCAAAUUUGGGGUCCUUCCGGGAAGUGGGUGGCAGGUAUUUCUUCUUUCCUCCUGGAAGCAGAGUGGGUAUGACAAGCGCAUGGGGACCCUGUGGGGCGCUUGGCCACACUCCCUGCAGGUCACCCACAGAUUUCAGCACCGCAGACCCAGGGGCACCGGUCCUGCCACUUCCGCCCCAGCGUGCUUUCCCUCAUUUCCCUCACGAACACCAGCUCAUCCUCAGACACUGCAGCAUUUAUACUUUGAGACAUAAACUCGGAAGUUAUUUCUUGAUUACUUGACAUUCAAAGUUAACUGGGUAUCCUAUGUUUGAUAUAUCUGGCAACCCUACCUAUUUAGGUAAAGUGAAACCCCAGCCAGAGAGGGGAGGAGGUGCCCAGGCUCACCAGGCUCUAAGGGGCUAAGGUGGGACUUACCCCAGGUCUGCCAGGCCCCUCCAUGGCCCCUCUCGUAGUCAGACUCCCCGGGGUGGCCCUCAGAGGCCCAGCAGCUCCCCUUCCCCAAGGCCAUGGCCAGCAUCUGCCCACAUUUUAGACUCACAGAACCCACAAAAUGUCAGGGCCAAGAAGGACCUCUGAGAUCAACUAGUUCCAAGGUACAUGGGGGGAUACUGAGUCAGCAGUGGCGACUGUCUUGCCUAAAUUCACAAAAUGCAUCAUCUCUCAUGUGACCCCAAUAAAGGCUUUUCCUAGGUAUUCUGAAAACCUUCAAGUACUACCCAGACCCAUGUCUUCUGAUGAAAGGGAAGGCAACAGCGUCAUGGGCUGUUGUGCCCAGCACAGGGCAGGCUCUCAGCAAACACUUGGGCGGGUGAGCAGGCGAAUGAAUGAAUGAAGAAAGGAAGGAAUGAAGGAAUGAGUGAAUGGAUAUGGUGCUGCUCCUUCCUGGAGCAGACUUCUUGCCGCUUGAAUCAUCCAAUGUCCCAGCUCUGCUUGCCAGAACUUUUAGUAAUUUAAAUCAGUUGUAAAACAAAAAAUUAAUGGGUUUUUUUGUUUGUUUUGUUUGGUAGUAACUAAGUCCUACUAUUCUAACUCAGCAACUUUCCUCAGGACACUUUCUAAUCUUCAAUGUUUUAAACACAGAAUACCAGAUGGUGACAAAGACAGCCAGGUGACUCUGGACCAAGCUUGUCCCUUCUGGGGUCUCAUCUGCCGUGCCAGGGACCCUGUUGGCACUGGAGUUCUCGCUCCAUAACACCUACUUAAAAGGCGGCAUUCAGGGCUGGGUGCAGUGGCUCACGCCUGUAAUCCCAGCACUUUUGGGAGGCCGAGGCGGGUGGAUCACUUGAGGUCAGGAGUUUGAGGCCGAGCUGGCCAACAUGGUGAAACCCCGUCACUACUAAAAAUACAAAAAUUAGCCAGGUGUGGUGGCAGGUGCCUAUAAGCCCAGCUACUUGGGAGGCUGAGGCAGGAGAAUCUCUUAAACCUGGGAGGCAGAGGCUGCAGUGAGCCGAGAUCCUGGCACUGCACUCCAGCCUGGGUGACACAGUGAGAUUUUUGUCUCAAGAAAAAAAUAAAUAAAUAAACAUUAAAAGGCGGUAUUCACAGGAGCUGGAGAAAGCCGCAUUCUGCUCCCUUCCCUUAAAUUAUUUCACACAUUUUCUUUGUCAGCACAUUUAUGUUUUUGUGGUUACAUAAAUUCCAAUGAGUUCACCUAAAGCCCUUCCCCACUGGGACAUCUCGCUGCUUCCUUGCAAGCUGUUGUUCAUUUGUUUCUUUCAGAGAACACAGAGAGGGUGACAGCUCUGGGUACCUGCCCAUGUCCUUCUUUUGAGCCAUCUCCUAGAAGGGAGGUUGCAGGAACUGUGGCCGCCAACCCCCCAAAGGGCUCAUGACACAGAGCUUUACUGAAAGGGCGACCUAUAGUCGUUGAAUUGCUCCAUCCUAUGCUCACCCCACUUUUGAAAGGGACCCACACGUGUGAGGGGAGCACGUCAGGAGCCCCACACCCUGCAAAGUAUCACUCCAUGGUGGGCAUCGCUGCGUGGUCCGUGUGGAACCUCAGUUCUGGGACCACCCUCCUUGGGCUCAGAACCCAGGUCCACCACUUGCUAAGAGUUUCCUGUUACUGUGGCACGUCACCCCUUGUGCCUCAGUUUCCUCAUCUGUAUAAAGCAGGCACUGAUGCCCGCCCUUGAGAAUAAAUGAGUUGCUAUUGGUAAGAGGUGCUGGUGCAGUAGGGGCACUCAGAAGGCUCACAGGAUGAGAGCAAUCAGUAUUCACCAUCGUAAUCCACACCGUCUCUCAUCUGGAGAGAAGAGGUUCUAGCUCUGUAGAAGGUCCCAGGAGGAGGAGUUAGGUCAAGCAUAAAGCAGAAGGUGGAGGCAGGGGUGAGCAGAAUUGGGCGCUCAGCUGACAGCUGGGAAGGUGCUGCAAGUCCCAGGCAUGGCCAGGCUCACUCUUGCCACACAGACCUUCACCCUCCACCCUCAGACCUGCGUGGGCACACACCUUUUGAGAGCUCCUCCUCCGCUGGGGGCUCCACCCCCUUGGGGAGCUGCAGCAGGUCGUACAAGAACUCCGGCUCCAUCGCCUCCCAAGCCUGCACAGAGGAGGCAGGAGAGGGCGUCACGGUCUGAGAAGCCCCAAACUCACUGAGCCCCUCAUUUUCUCUAGACCUGGAGGCACAGAAGGAGGGUAGAAGCCAGGUUCUGGGGACACGUCAGCAUGCCAGCCUAGGCAGGGGGUACGGGCCCUGUGAGAAAGAGCCCUUGAGCCAACCCUUGCGGGGUGACGGGUUAGAAAAAGGCACAGAAGCUGAGGGCGGGCACAGCCAAGCAAAGGCUUGGCGGAGGAAGUGGUCCUUCCUCAGGCAGGUGCAGAGCGGCC
Molecule: long non-coding RNA, 4709 nt
Filed under: Homo sapiens (human)
Lineage: Eukaryota; Metazoa; Chordata; Mammalia; Primates; Hominidae
Description: non-protein coding lnc-SHISAL1-1:1
Source: RNAcentral